This is an unclassified non-coding RNA of Pongo abelii (Sumatran orangutan), 148 nucleotides long. It matches the Rfam family "Metazoan signal recognition particle RNA". Rfam says of the family: The signal recognition particle (SRP) is a universally conserved ribonucleoprotein. It is involved in the co-translational targeting of proteins to membranes. Lineage: Eukaryota; Metazoa; Chordata; Mammalia; Primates; Hominidae. The record is from Ensembl.
GCUGGGCAUGGUGGCACAUGCCUGUAAUCCCAGCUACUCGGGAGGCUGAGACAGGAGAAUUGCUUGAGCCUGGAAGGUCGAGGCUGCAGUGAACCGAGAUCACACCACUGCACUCCAGCCUGGGUAACAGAGCAAGACCCUGUCUCAA